GAUGAAGAACGUAGCAAAAUGCGAUAAGUAAUGUGAAUUGCAGAAUUCAGUGAAUCAUCGAAUCUUUGAACGCACAUUGCGCCCGCCAGUAUUCUGGCGGGCAUGCCUGUUCGAGCGUCAUUUCAACCCUCAAGCUCAGCUUGGUGUUGGGACUCGCGGUAACCCGCGUUCCCCAAAUCGAUUGGCGGUCACGACGAGCUUCCAUAGCGUAGUAAUCAUACACCUCGUUACUGGUAAUCGUCGCGGCCACGCCGUAAAACCCCAACUUCUGAAUGUUGACCUCGGAUCAGGUAGGAAUACCCGCUGAACUUAAGCAUAUCAAUAAGCGGAGGA
Molecule: unclassified non-coding RNA, 333 nt
Filed under: soil metagenome
Description: partial contains 5.8S ribosomal RNA, internal transcribed spacer 2, and large subunit ribosomal RNA
Rfam family: 5.8S ribosomal RNA (bases 1-120)
Source: RNAcentral